Molecule: non-coding RNA, 701 nt
Organism: Monodelphis domestica (gray short-tailed opossum)
Lineage: Eukaryota; Metazoa; Chordata; Mammalia; Didelphimorphia; Didelphidae
Source: RefSeq, a predicted model, not a curated record
CAGUAAAGGCAACAUUACUUUUAGGAAGUUGCAAAACUUGUAAUGAUUCCAAAUUUCUCCAAGAAAUAAAGGUCCAUCUGUUUCAUCUUUGUAUUCUACCAGUAUGGUUUUGUGACUGUAACACACAGAUUACAACAAUCUCUGAAACUCUGAAAAAUCACUGAAGGGCAAUGGAGAAAUGUUUGAUGAUCAAGAGAGCCUGCCAAAGAGAACAAAAGAGGAACUUGGAAGAGUUGAACUCAAUCUACGACAGGAUCAGCUUUAGUCAACCUAGAGGACAGCAGACUUUGUAGAGUCAAGAGUUAGCAUCUGAUUUGUGCUUCACCAAUCUGAAGAAUCAGAAAGCAGCAGCUUUUGAUACCACAUCAGAGGCCAUGUCUAUUAACAGUACAGCUGAGAUGAGACAAGAAUGACUGACCUGAACUUUACAGGCCGGGAUUUCAGACACAGAAAUAAAAGGAUGAAAUAAAUUCAGAAGGAAAAUAUUUGGUUGGAUUUUAACUAAAAAUAGAGGUAGAAGUCCCUUAGGAAAUGCAGAGACUAAGAAGAAAGGCAGACUGAGACUUUCCUUUGGUGGUUUUUUAGAGGUCUCCAAAGAAAUUCAAGUACUAUAGUGGAGCCCAUUACAAAGAAUUUUAGUUAAUGGUGAGUAGGAAUGAAUGUUUCUUUAAAUUGUGCUCUAUGUGUAUAUCUUUUUUAUU